UGGGGAAUUUUGGACAAUGGGCGAAAGCCUGAUCCAGCAAUGCCGCGUGUGUGAAGAAGGCCUUCGGGUUGUAAAGCACUUUUGUCCGGAAAGAAAUCCUCUGGGUUAAUACCUCGGGGGGAUGACGGUACCGGAAGAAUAAGCACCGGCUAACUACGUGCCAGCAGCCGCGGUAAUACGUAGGGUGCAAGCGUUAAUCGGAAUUACUGGGCGUAAAGCGUGCGCAGGCGGUUUUGUAAGACGGAUGUGAAAUCCCCGGGCUUAACCUGGGAACUGCAUUCGUGACUGCAAGGCUAGAGUAUGGCAGAGGGGGGUAGAAUUCCACGUGUAGCAGUGAAAUGCGUGGAGAUGUGGAGGAAUACCGAUGGCGAAGGCAGCCCCCCUGGGCCAAUACUGACGCUCAUGCACGAAAGCGUGGGGAGCAAACAGGAUUAGAUACCCUGGUAGUCCACGCCCUAAACGAUGUCAACUAGUUGUUGGGGAUUCAUUUCCUUAGUAACGUAGCUAACGCGUGAAGUUGACCGCCUGGGGAGUACGGUCGCAAGAUUAAAACUUAAAUGAAUUGAC
This 567-nucleotide ribosomal RNA is filed under the name uncultured bacterium. RNAcentral's name for it is "partial 16S ribosomal RNA". It matches the Rfam family "Bacterial small subunit ribosomal RNA", at positions 355 to 914 of the family's 1533-position model. The record is from RNAcentral.